GACCUCAAUAAACUGUACAACUUUUGUUAUAUAUGUCUAAACAAAAUAUUUACGAGUAAAAAGUUAUGAUUUAUAACGUGGAAAAAAAUUGGCCACUUUUCUAAACUCCAUUUUCGACCCCUACCGAGCUUCCAUACUAGGCACUUCCGGAAAUUUUUAAAACCCAGGUGCACAACUACAACAUGUCGUCUAACAUCACUGAAAAUUUCAGCACUCUAGCUUUUAUGGUUUUUGAGUUUUUGUCUGGACAAAAUGGUCAUCUGAAAAUCGAUAAAAGGGGGAUAACUUCCAACCGGAAGUGAUUUUUCAAAAAUUGAAACGGCGGUACAAACUUCAAAUGGCAACGCAUCAAUCCUGAAAAUUUGAAGCAAAUCGAUCCAGCCAUCUCCGAGAAAUCUUCUGCACAAAAAUCGGUAAGGAGAAAAAAAAAGAAUAAUAAUAAUAACUAGUGAUCCUAAUUGUUCGCGAACAAUUAGAGGGCUUCCCACCUUCUAGCGGUUUUUCAGUAGUGUUGAAAUGCUAAAAGCCCCCCCCCCCCUACCCCAUCCCACCCUCACCCAAAAAACAAAAAAAAAAAAAAAAAAAAUGAUUUGGCUAGAAAAGAAAUUCAAAUUUGCCGCCUAAAUUUGAGUGUUGAGGUGUGUUCAAUGCUUGGUUUCGCAUUAAGUACCCGUCAAAUUUGAGGGAGAAAAGGGGUGUGGGUGUUGGGUAGCCAGCACAUAUGCACAUAUCAGGUAAAAGUGUAAUGGGACUUGUGCAGGUGUUUGGGGUGACUUUGGACCUGUUAGAUGUGAUAUUUGGAGGUGCAAAGAAACCGGAUGUGCCAUUUUCCUAGAUUGUAGUAACUGCUGGUGCAUGCUGGGAGUCUAUACAAGCCUCAUGUUGUCAGAUGUUGUGAAGAUGCACUGGAUUUGACCGUGUGUGUUGUGGAUUGUGGAAUUGAAUAUACAGUUUGUAAUGGCUCAUCCUAUGUGUUCUAAUUCACGGAGACAAUGUCUUUCAGUCAUUUCACCCAAGGAGGCAUGCAUAUACGGAUUGAUAGGCUUUGACAACAAACAACCAAAAUGGCGGCCGGUGAAUUAGAAAGUGUCUGAGUGCAUGUAGGAUAUCUGAACGGAGAAUAGGAGUACUGCAUCCCAUCUGAUCCUGCAGUCAUUUCACCCAAGGAGGCAUGCAUAUACGGAUUGAUAGGCUUUGACAACAAACAACCAAAAUGGCGGCCGGUGAAUUAGAAAGUGUCUGAGUGCAUGUAGGAUAUCUGAACGGAGAAUAGGAGUACUGCAUCCCAUCUGAUCCUGCAGUCAUUUCACCCAAGGAGGCAUGCAUAUACGGAUUGAUAGGCUUUGACAACAAACAACCAAAAUGGCGGCCGGUGAAUUAGAAAGUGUCUGAGUGCAUGUAGGAUAUCUGAACGGAGAAUAGGAGUACUGCAUCCCAUCUGAUCCUGCAGUCAUUUCACCCAAGGAGGCAUGCAUAUACGGAUUGAUAGGCUUUGACAACAAACAACCAAAAUGGCGGCCGGUGAAUUAGAAAGUGUCUGAGUGCAUGUAGGAUAUCUGAACGGAGAAUAGGAGUACUGCAUCCCAUCUGAUCCUGCAGUCAUUUCACCCAAGGAGGCAUGCAUAUACGGAUUGAUAGGCUUUGACAACAAACAACCAAAAUGGCGGCCGGUGAAUUAGAAAGUGUCUGAGUGCAUGUAGGAUAUCUGAACGGAGAAUAGGAGUACUGCAUCCCAUCUGAUCCUGCAGUCAUUUCACCCAAGGAGGCAUGCAUAUACGGAUUGAUAGGCUUUGACAACAAACAACCAAAAUGGCGGCCGGUGAAUUAGAAAGUGUCUGAGUGCAUGUAGGAUAUCUGAACGGAGAAUAGGAGUACUGCAUCCCAUCUGAUCCUGCAGUUAAAUACUUGGGAACUUCGAAGUCCAAAUCAGUGUUAGUCAGGUCUAUAACAAAGCAACAACCAUGAUCCGAGCUCUCGUUCUCCUCAGUGUCUGUGUCGCUAUGGCGUACUCCGCCGGAUACCAACCCGGUGCUUACAUUCCCGGUGGUCACAUUGGAGCUGGACAUGGUGGUGGUAUCGGCAGUGGCAUCAUCGGUAGAGGCGGACGUCAGUGGGGCUCUCGUCGGCAGUGGUCUAACUCCUGGCAGUCUGGUAGCCAAGGAGGAAUAGGAGGACACGGUGCUGCUGCCAUUGGAAGUGGAAUAGCAAGAAUCAUUGGCGGUGGUCCCAGAGGCGUACGUAUUGGCGGAGGACAAGGGAGGAUCAACGGGGGUGGUCACGGAUGUGGGCCCUAUGGUUGUAACCAAUACGGACGUAAAUAGAUCAAUAUAAGUGGAACUUCAUCUUGUUAUUUAUUUAUUUAUUGGAAUUGUAAAUCCAGUAUUUAUUUUUCAAAUGUUACAUGUUCAAUCAAAUGUUCACAAUAAACGUCUGAAAAUAA
Long non-coding RNA from Ostrea edulis (European flat oyster), 2440 nucleotides. RefSeq lists it as uncharacterized. Lineage: Eukaryota; Metazoa; Mollusca; Bivalvia; Ostreida; Ostreidae. The record is from RefSeq and is a predicted model, not a curated record. The transcript is spliced from 9 exons.